This 207-nucleotide ribosomal RNA is filed under the name uncultured bacterium. RNAcentral's name for it is "partial 16S ribosomal RNA". It matches the Rfam family "Bacterial small subunit ribosomal RNA", at positions 568 to 774 of the family's 1533-position model. The record is from RNAcentral.
AGCGUAGGCGGACAUUUAAGUCAGGGGUGAAAUCCCGGGGCUCAACCUCGGAAUUGCCUCUGAUACUGGGUGUCUUGAGUAUGAGAGAGGUGUGCGGAACUCCGAGUGUAGAGGUGAAAUUCGUAGAUAUUCGGAAGAACACCAGUGGCGAAGGCGACACACUGGCUCAUUACUGACGCUGAGGCUCGAAAGCGUGGGGAGCAAACA